RNAcentral lists this ribosomal RNA (2924 nucleotides) under Escherichia coli B7A. RNAcentral's name for it is "bacterial LSU rRNA". It matches the Rfam family "Bacterial large subunit ribosomal RNA". Lineage: Bacteria; Pseudomonadati; Pseudomonadota; Gammaproteobacteria; Enterobacterales; Enterobacteriaceae. The record is from RNAcentral.
GGUUAAGCGACUAAGCGUACACGGUGGAUGCCCUGGCAGUCAGAGGCGAUGAAGGACGUGCUAAUCUGCGAUAAGCGUCGGUAAGGUGAUAUGAACCGUUAUAACCGGCGAUUUCCGAAUGGGGAAACCCAGUGUGAUUCGUCACACUAUCAUUAACUGAAUCCAUAGGUUAAUGAGGCGAACCGGGGGAACUGAAACAUCUAAGUACCCCGAGGAAAAGAAAUCAACCGAGAUUCCCCCAGUAGCGGCGAGCGAACGGGGAGCAGCCCAGAGCCUGAAUCAGUGUGUGUGUUAGUGGAAGCGUCUGGAAAGGCGCGCGAUACAGGGUGACAGCCCCGUACACAAAAAUGCACAUACUGUGAGCUCGAUGAGUAGGGCGGGACACGUGGUAUCCUGUCUGAAUAUGGGGGGACCAUCCUCCAAGGCUAAAUACUCCUGACUGACCGAUAGUGAACCAGUACCGUGAGGGAAAGGCGAAAAGAACCCCGGCGAGGGGAGUGAAAAAGAACCUGAAACCGUGUACGUACAAGCAGUGGGAGCACGCUUAGGCGUGUGACUGCGUACCUUUUGUAUAAUGGGUCAGCGACUUAUAUUCUGUAGCAAGGUUAACCGAAUAGGGGAGCCGAAGGGAAACCGAGUCUUAACUGGGCGUUAAGUUGCAGGGUAUAGACCCGAAACCCGGUGAUCUAGCCAUGGGCAGGUUGAAGGUUGGGUAACACUAACUGGAGGACCGAACCGACUAAUGUUGAAAAAUUAGCGGAUGACUUGUGGCUGGGGGUGAAAGGCCAAUCAAACCGGGAGAUAGCUGGUUCUCCCCGAAAGCUAUUUAGGUAGCGCCUCGUGAAUUCAUCUCCGGGGGUAGAGCACUGUUUCGGCAAGGGGGUCAUCCCGACUUACCAACCCGAUGCAAACUGCGAAUACCGGAGAAUGUUAUCACGGGAGACACACGGCGGGUGCUAACGUCCGUCGUGAAGAGGGAAACAACCCAGACCGCCAGCUAAGGUCCCAAAGUCAUGGUUAAGUGGGAAACGAUGUGGGAAGGCCCAGACAGCCAGGAUGUUGGCUUAGAAGCAGCCAUCAUUUAAAGAAAGCGUAAUAGCUCACUGGUCGAGUCGGCCUGCGCGGAAGAUGUAACGGGGCUAAACCAUGCACCGAAGCUGCGGCAGCGACGCUGAUGCGUUGUUGGGUAGGGGAGCGUUCUGUAAGCCUGCGAAGGUGUGCUGUGAGGCAUGCUGGAGGUAUCAGAAGUGCGAAUGCUGACAUAAGUAACGAUAAAGCGGGUGAAAAGCCCGCUCGCCGGAAGACCAAGGGUUCCUGUCCAACGUUAAUCGGGGCAGGGUGAGUCGACCCCUAAGGCGAGGCCGAAAGGCGUAGUCGAUGGGAAACAGGUUAAUAUUCCUGUACUUGGUGUUACUGCGAAGGGGGGACGGAGAAGGCUAUGUUGGCUGGGCGACGGUUGUCCCGGUUUAAGCGUGUAGGCUGGUUUUCCAGGCAAAUCCGGAAAAUCAAGGCUGAGGCGUGAUGACGAGGCACUACGGUGCUGAAGCAACAAAUGCCCUGCUUCCAGGAAAAGCCUCUAAGCAUCAGGUAACAUCAAAUCGUACCCCAAACCGACACAGGUGGUCAGGUAGAGAAUACCAAGGCGCUUGAGAGAACUCGGGUGAAGGAACUAGGCAAAAUGGUGCCGUAACUUCGGGAGAAGGCACGCUGAUAUGUAGGUGAAGUCCCUCGCGGAUGGAGCUGAAAUCAGUCGAAGAUACCAGCUGGCUGCAACUGUUUAUUAAAAACACAGCACUGUGCAAACACGAAAGUGGACGUAUACGGUGUGACGCCUGCCCGGUGCCGGAAGGUUAAUUGAUGGGGUUAGCGCAAGCGAAGCUCUUGAUCGAAGCCCCGGUAAACGGCGGCCGUAACUAUAACGGUCCUAAGGUAGCGAAAUUCCUUGUCGGGUAAGUUCCGACCUGCACGAAUGGCGUAAUGAUGGCCAGGCUGUCUCCACCCGAGACUCAGUGAAAUUGAACUCGCUGUGAAGAUGCAGUGUACCCGCGGCAAGACGGAAAGACCCCGUGAACCUUUACUAUAGCUUGACACUGAACAUUGAGCCUUGAUGUGUAGGAUAGGUGGGAGGCUUUGAAGUGUGGACGCCAGUCUGCAUGGAGCCGACCUUGAAAUACCACCCUUUAAUGUUUGAUGUUCUAACGUGGACCCGUAAUCCGGGUUGCGGACAGUGUCUGGUGGGUAGUUUGACUGGGGCGGUCUCCUCCUAAAGAGUAACGGAGGAGCACGAAGGUUGGCUAAUCCUGGUCGGACAUCAGGAGGUUAGUGCAAUGGCAUAAGCCAGCUUGACUGCGAGCGUGACGGCGCGAGCAGGUGCGAAAGCAGGUCAUAGUGAUCCGGUGGUUCUGAAUGGAAGGGCCAUCGCUCAACGGAUAAAAGGUACUCCGGGGAUAACAGGCUGAUACCGCCCAAGAGUUCAUAUCGACGGCGGUGUUUGGCACCUCGAUGUCGGCUCAUCACAUCCUGGGGCUGAAGUAGGUCCCAAGGGUAUGGCUGUUCGCCAUUUAAAGUGGUACGCGAGCUGGGUUUAGAACGUCGUGAGACAGUUCGGUCCCUAUCUGCCGUGGGCGCUGGAGAACUGAGGGGGGCUGCUCCUAGUACGAGAGGACCGGAGUGGACGCAUCACUGGUGUUCGGGUUGUCAUGCCAAUGGCACUGCCCGGUAGCUAAAUGCGGAAGAGAUAAGUGCUGAAAGCAUCUAAGCACGAAACUUGCCCCGAGAUGAGUUCUCCCUGACUCCUUGAGAGUCCUGAAGGAACGUUGAAGACGACGACGUUGAUAGGCCGGGUGUGUAAGCGCAGCGAUGCGUUGAGCUAACCGGUACUAAUGAACCGUGAGGCUUAACCUUACAACGCCGAAGGUGUUUUG